Molecule: unclassified non-coding RNA, 395 nt
Filed under: soil metagenome
Description: partial contains 5.8S ribosomal RNA, internal transcribed spacer 2, and large subunit ribosomal RNA
Rfam family: 5.8S ribosomal RNA (bases 1-122)
Source: RNAcentral
GAUGAAGAACGUAGCGAAAUGCGAUUCUUGGUGUGAAUUGCAGAAUCCCGUGAACCAUCGAGUCUUUGAACGCAAGUUGCGCCCGAAGCCAUCAGGUUGAGGGCACGUCUGCCUGGGCGUCACAUAUCGUUGCCCAAUGCCUAUUGCAGUGCAAUAGGAAUUUCUAGGGCGAAUGAUGGCUUCCCGUGAGCGUUGUUGCCUCGCGGUUGGUUGAAAAUCGAGUCCUUGGUAGGGUGUGCCAUGGUAGAUGGUGGUCGAGUUAGAACGAUACCGAUCAUGUGCAUGCUCCCCAAAAUAUGGCCUCUAUGACCCACACGCGUCUUUUGACGCUCAUGACGAGACCUCAGGUCAGGCGGGGCUACCCGCUGAAUUUAAGCAUAUCAAUAAGCGGAGGA